GGGGGGGGGGGGGGGCGGGGUGGGCGGCGGGGGGGGGGGCGGGGGGGGCUGCUUUCGCUGGUGAGUUGCGGGUGCUGUAGGUGAGCACGCGUUAGUAACACGUGAGUGAUCGGCCUCCCACUUGGGUAUAAGCCUGGUGACAUGGGUCUAAUUCCCGAUGAGGCUGCGGGAGGUUUCCUGUGGGUGGUAACGGUUGUCUAUUGGUGGUGUAUGCGCUCGCGGCCUAUCAGCCUGUUGGUGUGGUAGUGGCUUACCAAGGCGGCGACGGGUAGCCGCCCUGAGCGGGUGGACGGCCACAUUGGGAAUGAGAGACGGCCCAGAGUCCUACGGGAGGCAGCAGUGGGGAAUAUUGCACAAUGGGUGGAAGCCUGAUGCAGCAACGCCGCGUGGGGGAUGACGGCCUUCGGGUUGUAAACUCCUUUCGACCGCGAGGAAGCCACCUGGUUGGAAGGGUGGUGACGGUAGUGGUAGAAGAAGCACCGGCUAACUACGUG
RNAcentral lists this ribosomal RNA (494 nucleotides) under uncultured bacterium. RNAcentral describes it as "partial 16S ribosomal RNA". It matches the Rfam family "Bacterial small subunit ribosomal RNA", at positions 38 to 507 of the family's 1533-position model. The record is from RNAcentral.